RNAcentral lists this long non-coding RNA (717 nucleotides) under Nicotiana benthamiana. RNAcentral describes it as "long non-coding RNA (NBEN_LNC009836)". The record is from RNAcentral. Lineage: Eukaryota; Viridiplantae; Streptophyta; Magnoliopsida; Solanales; Solanaceae.
UCUGAAACAAGGUGAACAUUUUGAUGUGGUCGGUGGAUGAGUCGCUAGCAUCAAUGGACUCAAGAAACAAACUUCCCCGGGGAGAAUUCACCAACACAAUAAUAAUCAUUUUUCCCGUUCUUGUCGUCCACUUAUCCAUCAUAAUGGAGCAGCCAUACUUGUCCCACACAACUUUAUGCUCCUCAACAAUUUUGUUUGUCUCCUCCACUUCCUUAUUUAGAUAAGGACCUCAUAUUUCAUGGUAAGUUGGACACUUCAUUCCAGGUCCGUAUUGACCAACGAGCUCAAUAAAGUCUCCAAAAGUGUCAUAGUUGACACAAUUGAGCCCAGCAUCAUAGACCAUCGUGCGAAAGCACUAACUGCACGCUCCCUCACAUCCGGUGGACAUUUAGACAACUUGUCAUGUUUCUAUCGCCACCAAUUAGAUGGUAUUUAAAGCGAUAAAUUCCUCCCAUGUUAUCUUAUUGCAAAAAAUGCACAGAACAUUUGUAUUCUUCUCAUUAACUCUUUGGCCAUAUCGCCAAGCCGGGUCUUUCUCUUUUGAACUUUGAGACAUUUAAUUAUCCCUAUUAAGAUAUAAAAGAAAAAAUAAUUAAUAAACUGAAAAUACACUGAACUGAAAUUAUAUAAAUUAUAAUAAUUAACUGAAAAUAAAUUGAAAUUAAAUAAAUUAUAGUAAUAAUUAACAGAAAAUAAACUGAAAUUAUAUAAAUUAUA